GCGCCCGUAGCGCAAUUGGAUAGAGCGUUAGAUUCCGGUUCUAAAGGCUGGGGGUUCGAGUCCCUUCGGGCGUACCA
Molecule: transfer RNA, 77 nt
Filed under: Pseudoflavonifractor phocaeensis
Lineage: Bacteria; Bacillati; Bacillota; Clostridia; Eubacteriales; Oscillospiraceae
Also listed under: 17 other names
Description: tRNA-Arg
Rfam family: tRNA
About the family: Transfer RNA (tRNA) molecules are approximately 80 nucleotides in length. Their secondary structure includes four short double-helical elements and three loops (D, anti-codon, and T loops).
Source: RNAcentral